This 460-nucleotide ribosomal RNA is filed under the name uncultured bacterium. RNAcentral describes it as "partial 16S ribosomal RNA". It matches the Rfam family "Bacterial small subunit ribosomal RNA", at positions 338 to 795 of the family's 1533-position model. The record is from RNAcentral.
ACUACGGGGGGCAGCAGUGAGGAAUAUUGGUCAAUGGGCGGAAGCCUGAACCAGCCAAGUAGCGUGCAGGAUGACGGCCCUACGGGUUGUAAACUGCUUUUAUACGGGAAUAACGCGCCUUACGUGUAGGGCUUUGCAUGUACCGUAUGAAUAAGGACCGGCUAAUUCCGUGCCAGCAGCCGCGGGAAUAAGGAAGGUCCGGGCGUUAUCCGGAUUUAUUGGGUUUAAAGGGAGCGUAGGCCGCAUGUCAAGCGUGCUGUGAAAUGUCCGGGCUCAACCCGGGCCUUGCAGCGCGAACUGGCGUGCUUGAGUCCGCGGAAGGCAGGCGGAAUUCGUCGUGUAGCGGUGAAAUGCUUAGAUAUGACGAAGAACCCCGAUUGCGAAGGCAGCUUGCUGCAGCGGAACUGACGCUGAUGCUCGAAAGCGCGGGUAUCGAACAGGAUUAGAUACCCUUGUAGUC